AGACUACCCAGUUCGUGUGGGUGAGACCCUGCGUUCAGGUUCGAGCCGAGGAUGCGAGACAGCAACGCGCCAGCGUUGACCCGAAGGGCGAGUCAUCCCAUUCGGCUCAAAG
RNAcentral lists this small RNA (112 nucleotides) under Yersinia sp. 2105 StPb PI. RNAcentral's name for it is "RtT sRNA". It matches the Rfam family "RtT RNA". Rfam says of the family: This family represents a bacterial cis-regulatory element known as RtT RNA. The exact function of RtT is unknown although it is thought that it may be involved in changing the cellular response in relation to amino acid starvation. Lineage: Bacteria; Pseudomonadati; Pseudomonadota; Gammaproteobacteria; Enterobacterales; Yersiniaceae. RNAcentral also lists the same sequence under 1 other name. The record is from RNAcentral.